GAUGAACGCUGGCGGUAUGCUUAACACAUGCAAGUCGAACGGGAUAUCUUCGGAUAUUUAGUGGCGGACGGGUGAGUAACGCGUGAGAACAUGCCCUUAGGUUCGGGACAACAGUUGGAAACGACUGCUAAUACCGAAUGUGCCGAGAGGUGAAAGAUUAAUUGCCUAGGGAUUGGCUCGCGUCAGAUUAGCUAGUUGGUAGAGUAACGGUUUACCAAGGCGACGAUCUGAACUGGUCUGAGAGGAUGACCAGUCACACUGGGACUGAGACACGGCCCAGACUCCUACGGGAGGCAGCAGUGGGAAUUUUCCGCAAUGGGCGAAAGCCUGACGGAGCAAUACCGCGUGAGGGAGGACGGCUCUUGGGUUGUAAACCUCUUUCUCAGGGAUGAUAAUGACAGUA
Molecule: ribosomal RNA, 403 nt
Filed under: uncultured bacterium
Lineage: Bacteria
Description: bacterial SSU rRNA
Rfam family: Bacterial small subunit ribosomal RNA
Source: RNAcentral